AUGCAAAUGUGCCAGGCCUCAAGGAUAAUGGGUGGUUUGCACAACAAAAGCUGUAGGAGAAACAAGCUGACGACCUGUGAAAAUCUCAGCAGGGGUGCAAGUCCCGAGGUGUUAAGCACCCCUGCUGAGAUUUUCACAGGUCGUCAGCUUGUUUCUCCUACAGCUUUUGUUGUGCAAACCACCCAUUGUCCAUGAGGCCUGGCACAUUUGCAUUUGCUCACUCAGAGUUGCUCAGAUCCAAGGCAGGCCAAACCUCUGUGUUACAACUUUCAGAAAUGCCUGGUAGAAAUGCUUCAACUUACUCAUGAGAUUUUGACCACAUUUUUUGCGGAAGUCACAACUAUACUGAAUGCACGACCAUUGUUGCCAGCUGCAAGAAAUGCUUGUAUCAUACAUAAACUCAUUCUCUCAAAAAAAGAGGAGGAGAGACCGACAAUUCUGCUAAAAUGAGCAGAAGCUGCUGAGAAUUGUGCUGAGAAGAGGUGAAAAGGCUGAAAAUUUUGCAGAAAAGAGGCAGAACAAAAGAGAAAAAUGAAAACAGGUUUUGCCAUGACCGGGAUUUGAACCUGGCCGUUCUCAUCUCAAGGCAGCUGCUCAUCUCACUGAACCAAACUCUUUCUCUCAAAAACAAGAGAUGGAGAAACUGACAAUUUUGCUAAAUGAGCAGAAGCUGCUGAGAAUUGUGCUGAGAAGAAGUGAAAAGGCUGAAAAUUUUGCAGAAAAGAGGUGAAUCAGCAGAAUUUCUGCUGAAAAGAGGCAGAAGGUUCUGUAUGUAGAAAAAGAAACACUGUUGAACCAUGUGUGAAAUAAAUAAAGAAAUGAAAUGAAAGAACAACCUGGUUCUGCUCAAAUUCACCAAUCAGAGGUACUGCCUCAGUCUGCUUCAUCAGGCUGUGUACUUGUUUCUGCCAUGGAGCGUUAACAAGAAUCUGAGGUCCAUAUUAGAAAAGCUACUAAAAUCAUAAAAGUUUGCAGAAUUGUAAUAAAUUAGCAAUAUAAAUUACAGGUCUGUGAUAGUGUAUAAAUUUGUAGUGAAAAAAAAAAAACGUGGACCAAGGUGGGAUUGAACCCACGACCUUUGAGCUGCAGAGCCGUGUCAUUACUGAUUGCGCCACCUGGAAAGGGGGCAGGGGUCUGAAAGACAGAUACUUCAGCAGUCAGAAUUAGAUCGCAGUGAGAGGCAAAAAACGCCGUUUUUUUAGUGUUACAAAACGUCGUGUAACUCAAAAACUAGGAGGGGUAGCAGCAUAAUUCUUGUACUGGGUGAAUCAGCGGACUUUGGUGUACUUUGACUGCGAUUUUCAUUGCUCUAUGUACCUCCGUCGCGGAGAUAUGACGAGAGAAGAAACGGCUUCAUUUUCGGAGUUUGAAAACUGAGAGGAGGACAGAUUUCCACCCCUCAAACAAACGUAAUUCAUUGCUCAACGGUAAGAUAAUUGUAAAAACUGCUUCCACUGUGAGUGUCAGCAGUGUCUGAAGAUAUAUUGGCACAAGCCUCAUGUCCUAACUUUGCUUUGUUAAAGAGAUAUGGCGAUUUGAAAAUGCCUCCCGUUACAGAAUUUCAGCUCUGAAUUUCAAAACCUCCCCAUAGACUUUGAAUGGGGAGUAUUGAGACCUUGUGUCACUCCGAGGCAAAUUGCAAAAAAACGGUAAAUCUCACAAUAAAGAUAGUGACAUUGUCUGAAAGCCAGCAAAAAUACCUACGUUUUGAUGUAUAAUUUGUGGGGGUUGAGUGUAAAUUGAGUAAGUAGCAAGAAGUUGUUCAGACAUGAAGACAAAAUUCAGAACGGACCAGCACUCACUCUGAGUUAAUUGCACAGAAUUGUGGAAGUUUCCCAUUCAUUUCAAUGGGACAAAUUAAAGGAAAAAAGUGUAAUAUUUUAAAAAGUAUAACAGUAAUAAACACCAAAAGUCAUAGCAGGAAUUAACAGAAAGAGCAGAACAGUUUCGAGUUUGAACGGAGAAAAUCGGCUGAAAACUGAAGAAGUAGUUAAGCGGCGAAGAACGGAGCAACUUGAAGAAUAAAGUAUAAAGAAUAAAGAGAAACAGGAACUCAAUAGUGUGGAUGCCCUUUGGGGGCAUCCACACAAUAAAGAGAAACAGGAACUCAAUAGUGUGGAAGCCCUUUUAGGGCAUCCACACAAUAAAGAAUAAAGAGAAACAGGAACUCAAUAGAAAAAUUUGCAUUUCCUGCGAAAAUGCUGUGUGGAUGCCUUAAUGCUGAAGCUGUCUGCUCAAAAACUGAAAAAGAUGAAAAGUUGCAAAACGUUGUAUGGUGGUGAAAAAAAAAAAAUUGCCCUGAGCAGGAUUCGAACCUGGCCCUCCAUGUCUCAAGGCAGCCACUAAUCUCACUGAGCUAAACUCACUCUGACAAAGAAGAGGUGGAGAGACGGACAAUUCUGCUGAAAUGAGCAGAAGCUGCUGAGAAUUGUGUUGAUAAGAGGAGAAAAGGCUGAAAAAUUUGCAGAAAAGAGGUGAAUCAGCAGAAUUUCUGCUGAAAAGAGGUAAAGAAGCAGAAAGUUGCGCUGAAAAGACAUGAAUCAGCAGAAUUUUUUGCUCAAAAGUGUUUUUUCUGAAAACAGCUGAGAUUUGUGCUAAUAAGAGGUGAAAAGGCUGAAAAUUUUGCAGAAGAGGUGAAUAAGCAGAAUUUGGCCUUAAAAGAGGUGAAAAUUCUGCUGAAAAGAGUUCAAUCAGCAGAAUUUCUGCUGGAAAGAGUUCUGCAGAACCCUUUUCAGAAUUCUGCUGAAAAGAGGUUUUUGCUGAAAACAGCAGAAAAAGCUGGGAUUUGUGCUGAAAAGUGGUGAAAAAACUGAAAAUUUUGCUGAAAAGGGGUGAAAAAGCUGAAAUUGAGUUAAAAAAGUUUAACUGUUAACUGAAAGAAAUGUUGCCAUAAGCGGGAUUUGAACCCCGGCCUCCCAGUCUGAGAACGGCUGCUAAUUGGUAAAAACACAAAAUUCUUAGUACAAAGACUACGCUUACAAAAUUAUGAACAUAGUAAUAAAUCCGGUCAAUUUCUAGCAAACCAGCUAAAAAUAAAGAAAGAAAAAACAACUAUAUGUGCUGUUCAAGAUUCAUCUGGGAACACAAUAUAUGAACCGAAACAAAUAAACAACAUUUUCAGGGAUUUCUAUAAAACGUUGUAUUCACCACAAAUAAACCCAUCUAAAAAGGAAAUUGAUCAGUUUUUAGACAACAUAACUCUCCCAA
Molecule: long non-coding RNA, 3207 nt
Filed under: Oreochromis niloticus (Nile tilapia)
Lineage: Eukaryota; Metazoa; Chordata; Actinopteri; Cichliformes; Cichlidae
Description: lncRNA (ENSONIG00000029601.1)
Source: RNAcentral